CUCUUGGAUAUUCUUUGAGGACCUUUAGGGUUAACUCAUUGACCUCUUAUUCUGGUUAAACAGUCAUUUCGGAGGGAGAUAAAGGGAGGCAGCUGGACUUCUGUCUUUGUAUAAAAAAGGAAGAAAUAAAUGGUUCAUGGGAAAGCUAGUCAUAUUACACCUGUGUUAAUCAAUGAACCUGCAGCCAGAACUGUGUACCACUGAUCACAUCACAACAAGCCUCAUGGCUAAAGGUCUGCUGAGAAGAUAUCAUCCCAACCUUCCACCAUCAGUGAGCAAGUACAACAGAUUAAGAAGUUUGAGAAAUUGACUAAUGAGCUCCAGAAGAUGACCUGUGCAUUGGGUAAACUCCCAGGAAUGCUGACCCAUUGCACCAACAGCUUUUGGACAAAAGAUAGCUACUAUGCCCACUUCUUUGUUGACUGUCCUGACCCCUCUGUGUUAACCUCAAUUUUCUCACACCACAGGAAAAUGCAAGUGUAAUGUCCUCAUGUACAAAUAAUUUUCUUAUGUGCCUCUCAGAGGCAGGACAUGAAGAAAGGAUAGGAGUGUGAUAAGAAUCUAUUUACUUUCUCAGAAAUGCAGAAGAGGUGUUUUGAAUAAAUGUCAUUGCAUACGGCAA
Rattus norvegicus (Norway rat) is the source of this 622-nucleotide non-coding RNA. NCBI's taxonomy places the organism in Eukaryota, Metazoa, Chordata, Mammalia, Rodentia, Muridae. The record is from RefSeq and is a predicted model, not a curated record.